GACGAACCGUGCGAACGUUAUUCGGAAUCACUGGGCUUAAAGGGCGCGUAGGCGGGCCAGCAAGUCAGGGGUGAAAGCCUCCGGCUCAACCGGAGAAGUGCCUCUGAUACUGCGGGCCUCGAGGGAGGUAGGGGCGUGCGGAACUUCCGGUGGAGCGGUGAAAUGCGUAGAUAUCGGAAGGAACACCGGUGGCGAAAGCGGCGCGCUGGACCUCUUCUGACGCUGAGGCGCGAAAGCCAGGGGAGCAAACGGG
This 253-nucleotide ribosomal RNA is filed under the name uncultured bacterium. Its description in RNAcentral is "partial 16S ribosomal RNA". It matches the Rfam family "Bacterial small subunit ribosomal RNA", at positions 524 to 776 of the family's 1533-position model. The record is from RNAcentral.